ACGGCUGCUGCACAGCUGCAGGGCUGCAGGAGAGCAGAGGCUGGAGUGGUAGCAGUGCCUAGGAUGGAGACUGAGACGGCUGCGGGGGACAGAGAGGCCCAUGGGCAGAGACCGGCUUGCUGCCUGCAGACUCACUCUGACUGGACGGGAUUCUAGUGACUGACCGGCCACCAAUGGAAUAAUGUCGGCUUGUCCGGGGUGAUCAUGCCCUCUGGCAAGAGGAUCUGAAUUCCUCCUGCAUUUGGCAAGUCCUACUGCCCCAACCUGCUCACCUUUUGAAGGCCCAGCAUGUCAGCCAUCUGAGGACCUGGAGGCUGGUGCCAGCCUCAGAGCAGAAGCGUUGUGCCCCGAGUGGGACACAGCCCCAUGGGUGGGACCUUGGCUGCAGAGAGACCGAGCCCGAUGCCCACCCUGGCCCUCGCUCUUCAAGGCCCCCUCAUCCAGGCUCACUCUUCCACGCCCUCCUCAGGUUUCCUGGGGUUGUCUGCAAACACACCACUUGCUCCCAAUCGCCCCCAACUCCUCGCCUGCUUUGGGGACUUGACAUCUGCAGAGGUUCCACACUGGCUGUGACUUUGCACAGAUUGUCCAGCCUUCUUCUGGACUUGAGCAUCAUCUGGCAGAUGGAGGCAGAAGACCCGGCUCAUGGUCAUCAGGGGAGAUAUGGUCCAGGA
Long non-coding RNA from Manis pentadactyla (Chinese pangolin), 674 nucleotides. RefSeq lists it as uncharacterized. The record is from RefSeq and is a predicted model, not a curated record. NCBI's taxonomy places the organism in Eukaryota, Metazoa, Chordata, Mammalia, Pholidota, Manidae. The transcript is spliced from 3 exons.